RNAcentral lists this unclassified non-coding RNA (378 nucleotides) under plant metagenome. RNAcentral describes it as "partial contains 5.8S ribosomal RNA, internal transcribed spacer 2, and large subunit ribosomal RNA". The stretch from base 1 to 105 matches the Rfam family "5.8S ribosomal RNA", at positions 50 to 154 of the family's 154-position model. The record is from RNAcentral.
GAAAUGCGACAAGUAAUGUGAAUUGCAGAAUUCAGUGAAUCAUCGAAUCUUUGAACGCACCUUGCGCUCCUUGGUAUUCCUUGGAGCAUGCCUGUUUGAGUAUCAUGAAAUCUUCAAAGUAAAUCUUUUGUUAACUCAAUUGGUUUCUACUUUGGUAUUGGAGGUCUUUGCAGCUUCACACCUGCUCCUCUUUGUUCAUUAGCUGGAUCUCAGUGUUAUGCUUGGUUCCACUCGGCGUGAUAAGUUAUCUAUCGCUGAGGACACUGUAAAAGGUGGCCAAGGUAAAUGCAGAUGAACCGCUUCUAAUAGUCCAUUGACUUGGACAAUACUUUUAUGAUCUGAACUCAAAUCAGGUAGGACUACCCGCUGAACUUAAGC